GUACCCCGGCUGAACUUAAGCAUUUCAAUAAGCGGAGGAAAAGAAACUUAACAAGGAUUCCCCUAGUAACUGCGAGUGAAGCGGGAAAAGCUCAAAUUUAAAAUCUGGCAGUCUUUGGCUGUCCGAAUUGUAUUCUGGAGAAGCGUUUUCCGCGCUGGACCGUGUACAAGUCUCUUGGAAUAGAGCGUCAUAGAGGGUGAGAAUCCCGUCUUUGACACGGACUACCAGUGCUUUGUGAUGCGCUCUCAAAGAGUCGAGUUGUUUGGGAAUGCAGCUCAAAAUGGGUGGUGAAUUCCAUCUAAAGCUAAAUAUUGGCGAGAGACCGAUAGCGAACAAGUACCGUGAGGGAAAGAUGAAAAGCACUUUGGAAAGAGAGUUAAACAGUACGUGAAAUUGCUGAAAGGGAAACGCUUGAAGUCAGUCGCGUCAUUCAGAACUCAGCCUGGCUUUUGCUUGGUGUAUUUUCUGGUUGACGGGCCAGCAUCAAUUUUGACCGCUGGAAAAAGGCCAUAGGAAUGUGGCACCCUCGGGUGUGUUAUAGCCUAUGGUCAUAUACAGCGGUUGGGAUUGAGGACCGCAGCACGCCUUUAUGGUUGGGGUUCGCCCACAUUCGUGCUUAGGAUGCUGGCGUAAUGGCUUUAAACGACCCGUCUUGAAACACGGACCAAGGAGUCUAACAUGCCUGCGAGUGUUUGGGUGGAAAACCCGAGCGCACAAUGAAAGUGAAAGUUGGGAUCCCUGUCGUGGGGAGCACCGACGCCCGGACCAGACCUUUUGUGACGGAUCCGCGGUAGAGCAUGUAUGUUGGGACCCGAAAGAUGGUGAACUAUGCCUGAAUAGGGUGAAGCCAGAGGAAACUCUGGUGGAGGCUCGUAGCGAUUCUGACGUGCAAAUCGAUCGUCAAAUUUGGGUAUAGGGGCGAAAGACUAAUCGAACCAUCUAGUAGCUGGUUCCUGCCGAGUCUUCCUCUCCCGAGGUAA
RNAcentral lists this ribosomal RNA (980 nucleotides) under Panus sp. Its description in RNAcentral is "partial large subunit ribosomal RNA". It matches the Rfam family "Eukaryotic large subunit ribosomal RNA", at positions 24 to 981 of the family's 3401-position model. The record is from RNAcentral. Lineage: Eukaryota; Fungi; Basidiomycota; Agaricomycetes; Polyporales; Panaceae.